Molecule: transfer RNA, 83 nt
Filed under: Schistocephalus solidus
Lineage: Eukaryota; Metazoa; Platyhelminthes; Cestoda; Diphyllobothriidea; Diphyllobothriidae
Rfam family: tRNA
About the family: Transfer RNA (tRNA) molecules are approximately 80 nucleotides in length. Their secondary structure includes four short double-helical elements and three loops (D, anti-codon, and T loops).
Source: Rfam by way of RNAcentral
GGCCUCGUAGCUCGACUGGCUAGAGCGUUGGCUGUACUAAAGUCGUCCCCUUGCUGGCGUGGGUUCGAGUCCCAUCGAGGCCA